Molecule: unclassified non-coding RNA, 393 nt
Filed under: uncultured fungus
Lineage: Eukaryota; Fungi
Description: partial contains small subunit ribosomal RNA, internal transcribed spacer 1, and 5.8S ribosomal RNA
Rfam family: Eukaryotic small subunit ribosomal RNA (bases 1-73)
Source: RNAcentral
UCAAACUUGGUCAUUUAGAGGAAGUAAAAGUCGUAACAAGGUUUCCGUAGGUGAACCUGCGGAAGGAUCAUUAGAAAUGUUUUGUUCACCCAGUUCUUGGUUCAAUUUGUUCUGCCUUGAAAGAGGUUGGAAUGAUUGGCCGGACUUUGGGCACAUCAUUUCCCAGAUCUUUUCAAAUAAUUUAUUUGAAAAGAUCUGGAUACCUUUUUGGUUGGGGGGGAGAAGGGUUCCCUUUUCUCUUCAAUCAUAUCUACACCAUUAAACUUUUUCUAAAGUCUGAACCUGUUAUAAGUAUUUAUGUAAAAAGCAUUUUUUUAUAUAAAUAUGAAUAUAAUAACAAAAACAACUUUCAACAAUGGAUCCCUCGACUCUCCCAUCGAUGAAGAACGCAGC